RNAcentral lists this ribosomal RNA (497 nucleotides) under uncultured bacterium. RNAcentral describes it as "partial 16S ribosomal RNA". It matches the Rfam family "Bacterial small subunit ribosomal RNA", at positions 28 to 507 of the family's 1533-position model. The record is from RNAcentral.
GACGAACGCUGGCGGCAUGCCUAAUACAUGCAAGUCGAACGCUGAAGCACCCUGCUUGCAGAGUGCGGAUGAGUGGCGAACGGGUGAGUAACACGUGGGGAAUCUGCCUAUAAGUGGGGGAUAACAUUCGGAAACGGAUGCUAAUACCGCAUAUAUUCUUGGACCGCCUGGUCCUUGAAAGAAAGACGGCUUUGCUGUCGCUUAUAGAUGAUCCCGCGGCGUAUUAGUUAGUUGGUGGGGUAAAGGCCUACCAAGACAAUGAUACGUAGCCGACCUGAGAGGGUGAUCGGCCACACUGGGACUGAGACACGGCCCAGACUCCUACGGGAGGCAGCAGUAGGGAAUCUUCCACAAUGGGCGAAAGCCUGAUGGAGCAAUGCCGCGUGAAUGAAGAAGGUCUUCGGAUCGUAAAGUUCUGUUAUUAGAGAAGAACAAGUCAAGGAAUAACUGUCUUGACUUUGACGGUACCUAACCAGAAAGUCACGGCUAACUACGUG